GCCCAGAACUCCCUUUGUCCAAAAUCACCCCGGCAUGUCCAAAGUGCAGCACUCCGGCAUUUGCAAGACUGCACAUCCAAACAUUCCCUCCUGAUGCACCAAUGCUGGUCAGGGAAUGUUUGGAUGUGUAGUGAUGCAAGUGCCGGAGGGUUGCAUUUGGGCCGCUGUAACCCGCUUGUGUUGUGUGGACUGUUGUAUGUACCUCUUUUUUCAGCCCCAGGGUGACACUAUCACCCAUACCUGGAAGCUUAAACUGUUCUCUUCCACCGGUCCUGCGGUGUAUCUUCCCAAGUGGCGUGGAUGUGAGGAGACACGACAUUUCACCUGAUGUUCCAUGGGUGACCCUACUGGUGAUGUGGACCUGACCCUCCGCCAUGUAGCAGACAACCCCCUCAGGUGAGAUGCAAUUGACCAACAAAACUCCCUUGUCCAAAAUCACCCUGGCAUGUCCAAAGUGCAGCCCUCCGGCAUUUGCAAGACUGCACAUCCAAACAUUCCCUGAAACAGCAAUGCUGGAGCGGGGAAUGUUUGGAUGUGUAGUGAUGCAAGUGCAGGAGGGUUGCAUUUGGACCCACUGUUCCCCGCUUGUGUUGUGUGGACUGUUGUAUGUACCUCUUUUUUCAGCCCCAGGGUGACACUAUUACCCACAUCUGGUAGCUCAUACUGUUCUCUUCCACAGGUCCUGCGGUGUAUCUUCCCAAGUGGCGUGGAUGUGAGGAGACACGACAUUUCACCUGAUGUUCCAUGGGUGACCCUACUGGUGAUGUGGACCUGACCCUCCGCCAUGUAGCAGACAACCCCCUCAGCCCCAGGGUGACACUAUCACCCAUACCUGGAAGCUCAAACUGUUCUCUUCCACAGGUCCUGCGGUGUAUCUUCCCAAGUGGCGUGGAUGUGAGGAGACACGACAUUUCACCUGAUGUUCCAUGGGUGACCCUACUGGUGAUGUGGACCUGACCCUCCGCCAUGUAGCAGACAACCCCCUCAGGUGAGAUGCAAUUGACCAACAAAACUCCCUUGUCCAAAAUCACCCUGGCAUGUCCAAAGUGCAGCCCUCCGGCAUUUGCAAGACUGCACAUCCAAACAUUCCCUGAAACAGCAAUGCUGGAGCGGGGAAUGUUUGGAUGUGUAGUGAUGCAAGUGCAGGAGGGUUGCAUUUGGACCCACUGUUCCCCGCUUGUGUUGUGUGGACUGUUGUAUGUACCUCUUUUUUCAGCCCCAGGGUGACACUAUUACCCACAUCUGGUAGCUCAUACUGUUCUCUUCCACAGGUCCUGCGGUGUAUCUUCCCAAGUGGCGUGGAUGUGAGGAGACACGACAUUUCACCUGAUGUUCCAUGGGUGACCCUACUGGUGAUGUGGACCUGACCCUCCGCCAUGUAGCAGACAACCCCCUCAGGUGAGAUGCAAUUGACCAACAAAACUCCCUUGUCCAAAAUCACCCUGGCAUGUCCAAAGUGCAGCCCUCCGGCAUUUGCAAGACUGCACAUCCAAACAUUCCCUGAAACAGCAAUGCUGGAGCGGGGAAUGUUUGGAUGUGUAGUGAUGCAAGUGCAGGAGGGUUGCAUUUGGACCCACUGUUCCCCGCUUGUGUUGUGUGGACUGUUGUAUGUACCUCUUUUUUCAGCCCCAGGGUGACACUAUUACCCACAUCUGGUAGCUCAUACUGUUCUCUUCCACAGGUCCUGCGGUGUAUCUUCCCAAGUGGCGUGGAUGUGAGGAGACACGACAUUUCACCUGAUGUUCCAUGGGUGACCCUACUGGUGAUGUGGACCUGACCCUCCGCCAUGUAGCAGACAACCCCCUCAGGUCUUCCGGUGUAUCCUUCCUAAGUGGCGUGGAUGUGAAGAGACAGUUCCCCUGAUGUUCCCUGGGCAAUCUACUUACGUACAAUUCAACUGCAUUACAAAUUUUAAUAAAAACCACAGGAAACUUCUAUUUUUAAAAGUUUAUUGAAGAAAAAUUUUUUUUAAUAAAGU
Long non-coding RNA from Pseudophryne corroboree (corroboree frog), 1978 nucleotides. RefSeq lists it as uncharacterized. The record is from RefSeq and is a predicted model, not a curated record. Lineage: Eukaryota; Metazoa; Chordata; Amphibia; Anura; Myobatrachidae. The transcript has 3 exons.